This 501-nucleotide ribosomal RNA is filed under the name uncultured bacterium. RNAcentral's name for it is "partial 16S ribosomal RNA". It matches the Rfam family "Bacterial small subunit ribosomal RNA", at positions 30 to 523 of the family's 1533-position model. The record is from RNAcentral.
AUUGAACGCUGGCGGCAUGCCUUACACAUGCAAGUCGAACGGCAGCACGGGUGCUUGCACCUGGUGGCGAGUGGCGAACGGGUGAGUAAUAUAUCGGAACGUACCUUAUUGUGGGGGAUAACGCAGCGAAAGCUGUGCUAAUACCGCAUAAUCCCUAAGGGGGAAAGCGGGGGACCGUAAGGCCUCGCGCAAUUAGAGCGGCCGAUACCUGAUUAGCUAGUUGGUGAGGUAAAGGCUCACCAAGGCAACGAUCAGUAGCUGGUCUGAGAGGACGAUCAGCAACACUGGGACUGAGACACGGCCCAGACUCCUACGGGAGGCAGCAGUGGGGAAUUUUGGACAAUGGGGGCAACCCUGAUCCAGCAAUGCCGCGUGAGUGAAGGAGGCCUUCGGGUUGUAAAGCUCUUUUGUCAGGGAAGAAACAGCAGCUCUAACACAGUUUGCGAAUGACGGUACCUGAAGAAUAAGCACCGGCUAACUACGUGCCAGCAGCCGCCGUAA